RNAcentral lists this ribosomal RNA (468 nucleotides) under uncultured bacterium. RNAcentral's name for it is "partial 16S ribosomal RNA". It matches the Rfam family "Bacterial small subunit ribosomal RNA", at positions 28 to 507 of the family's 1533-position model. The record is from RNAcentral.
GACGAACGCUGGCGGCGUGCUUAACACAUGCAAGUCGAACGGAAAGGCCCUGCUUUUGUGGGGUGCUCGAGUGGCGAACGGGUGAGUAACACGUGAGUAACCUGCCCUUGACUUUGGGAUAACUUCAGGAAACUGGGGCUAAUACCGGAUAGGAGCUCCUGCUGCAUGGUGGGGGUUGGAAAGUUUCGGCGGUUGGGGAUGGACUCGCGGCUUAUCAGCUUGUUGGUGGGGUAGUGGCUUACCAAGGCUUUGACGGGUAGCCGGCCUGAGAGGGUGACCGGCCACAUGGGGACUGAGGUACGGCCCAGACUCCUACGGGAGGCAGCGGUGGGGAGUAUUGCACAAUGGGCGGAAGCCUGAUGCAGCAACGCCGCGUGCGGGAUGACGGCCUUCGGGUUGUAAACCGCUUUCGCCGGUGACGAAGCGUGAGUGACGGUAAUGGGUAAAGAAGCACCGGCUAACUACGUG